UUUUGAAAGAAGAGUGCUUUUGAAAUGUUAUGGUAUGUCAAUUUAUGCGCAUGUUCAGUGAAAAAUUAUGAUAUACUAUGAUACAAAGUGUUUUGAUACAUAUCGGAUUUUUGCUCUCAGCCUAACUAUGUUUCAGUGGGCCCCGCCAAUGGGGAUUAUACGUUGGUACUCAGUGGACCCUGCCAAUGGGGGUUGUGCGCUGGUGUUUGUGGACCCUGCCAGUGGGAGUUGUGCGCUGGUAUUUGUGGACCCUACCAGUGGGGGUUGUGCGCUGGUAUUCUGUGGACCCCAUCAAUGGGGGUUAAACGUUGGUCAUAGUCAAGGCUGUUGAGUUACGAGUGUUUUGAAUCGAAUCAAAUUUAUGAUUAUAUUAUAUGUGAAUAUUUGAAAAUAUUUGGUUUGUAUUAAAUCAGCAUGAAAUAUACUCUUAUGUUUAUUUGCAGCAUUAUUCUUG
RNAcentral lists this long non-coding RNA (454 nucleotides) under Elaeis guineensis (African oil palm). Its description in RNAcentral is "long non-coding RNA (EGUI_LNC022059)". The record is from RNAcentral. Lineage: Eukaryota; Viridiplantae; Streptophyta; Magnoliopsida; Arecales; Arecaceae.